CUGAAGUGAUCGUUGAGUCGAAGAAGCGUAAACUGACAAGUCGACGACAGGCUAUCGUGGUGAACAUGACAAUGAAGUGGUUGAUCUUGGCUUUCUGCGUCGCCGUGCUGGUCACAGCUGGUGAAGCUCAGUAUUGCCGUACCUGUGGGCCGUCUGGGGGAAUCUGUGAUUAUUGGGUCCUGUGUGAGCCGGGCAAAAUCUGCCGUGAUAACCCAUCCACCGGUGGCCAGGAGUGCGUGUGGCCGUGACAGUGCCAGCGGACAAACCCCCAACUUGAAGUCCUCCAAAAUGGAC
Hippocampus comes (tiger tail seahorse) is the source of this 294-nucleotide long non-coding RNA. RefSeq lists it as uncharacterized. The transcript has 3 exons. The record is from RefSeq and is a predicted model, not a curated record. NCBI's taxonomy places the organism in Eukaryota, Metazoa, Chordata, Actinopteri, Syngnathiformes, Syngnathidae.